Molecule: long non-coding RNA, 1083 nt
Organism: Bombus huntii
Lineage: Eukaryota; Metazoa; Arthropoda; Insecta; Hymenoptera; Apidae
Exons: 2
Source: RefSeq, a predicted model, not a curated record
UUUAUAUGACGCAAUUUUAUUUGAUACUAGUGCUUCAAAAAAAUAAUUAAAAGUCAACAGAUCUUGUUUAUAUAUUUGAUUUGAAUGUAAUUUAAUAUAUUAUUUUUACAAGAUUUAUGUUCGAUAUACAUAUACAUUUAUUUAGUUACUAUUCUCUGCUUAUUUCAUACGAAUUUCAUAGUCUACAGCCUACUUUAUCUAUUAUGUGUGUAACCUAAAAUCAUUGGAAUAAUUAUUCUUGCAUCAACAUUAAUGUACGUGCCAAAUAAUACGUGCAGUACACCUUCAUACGCUAUUGAUUAUUUCCUGUAAAUGAAGAAUUUUAAUAUAAUGUACAAAAUAUAUAAAAUUUAGCAUUAAAAUUGUCGCACAUAUAUUUAAAAAUUAAUUGGAUUAAAGAAUUUUUCAAAAUUUCUGAGAAUGUAAGGCCAACGUAAGAUUUUACACGGAACUAGUUUCCAUUUUCGCGCGUAAGACUACGUCAUAAAGACAGAGGAGGGGGUAUAGACAGCGGACUUCAGACGCGCAGCGUAGACUUCCCUUAGUCAUCUUACGACUGUGCUGUGAGGAGGGUGUUUUGCUCGGUGGUUUCAAAUCCUUUGUGUGCAGUUGUGUGAAUCUCUUCUGUAUUGUUCUACAACAAACAGGAGCCGGAUACAGUCUCACCGUUCGAGAUGGCAUUGGGACAAGCGGAGGGAGUUGGUGUUCGCAACGAUGCUGAAGCGUACUGCACGCUCGGGGACCCCAUGUUCUCCAGUCUCUGCGCCUUUCGUUGGCUUAGUUUAUAUAUUAUAUUGUAUGCAUUGGUUUGGUAAUAUACGUAAUAAUGAGCGUUCGAAGUAUGUUCGAAGAGUGUUUGAUCCGAUAUUUUUUAAUUUCAGAAAUAUAUACUUUGCAUGUCUUAUAUUUUAAAGAAAAUUUGUAUAGUACAUUUUAGCUUGUAGAUUUAGUAGUAUCGUUUCUAAUAUUCGCUCCACUAUUCUGUACGUCAAGAUUUUGUAUAUUUGCUUAAUGUUGAUUAACAGUUUUGUAGACUUUAAGAAAUGAAAUGAAAUUAAUAAAAUUUGGAAAAUGUUUACAAUU